RNAcentral lists this ribosomal RNA (330 nucleotides) under uncultured eukaryote. RNAcentral describes it as "partial 18S ribosomal RNA". It matches the Rfam family "Eukaryotic small subunit ribosomal RNA", at positions 1470 to 1796 of the family's 1831-position model. The record is from RNAcentral.
CCCUUAGAUGUUCUGGGCCGCACGCGCGCUACACUGACGAAUGCAACGAGCUUAUAAUAACCUUGGCCGAAAGGUCUGGGUAAUCUCCAAAUUUCGUCGUGAUGGGGAUAGAUUAUUGCAAUUAUUAAUCUUCAACGAGGAAUGCCCAGUAAGCGCAAGUCAUCAGCUUGCGUUGAUUACGUCCCUGCCCUUUGUACACACCGCCCGUCGCUCCUACCGAUUGAAUGGUCCGGUGAAGCGUUCGGACCGUGGCCUUUGGACGGUUCGCCGUCUGUUGGCUGCGGGAAGUUCGUUAAACCUUAUCAUUUAGAGGAAGGAGAAGUCGUANCA